UUCUUCCAGAAGAAAAAGAAAAUUUAGCAGCUUUAUUAGGUUUAAAUGCAGAAAUUUUGCUGGAGAAUAGCUGAGGUUACCUCUGUGAGUAGAGGACAGUUUCAACCUUCUCUACUGGUUCCAUCACAGGGCACUGAUAAUUCCCUCAGCCAAUCUGGUGGCACAUCAAUGAAAAUCUAUUAAGGAAAGGGUGUAAAACAUGAUGCAGCAGCUGUGCGAGAAAAGAGUGGGAAGAAAAUCUGUUUAGGUUUUUUCUGGACUACUGCUGCAAUCAGAGUAACAAAAUGGAAUAAAUGAGACAUCUCUGAACCAGAGGAAGGUUUCAUCUUAGAAUGAAACAGGUGCUUGUAUUCACAUUAAAAAAGAAAAAAAAAAAAAGGGGAGAAAAAAAAAAUUUGUUUGUUUGUGUUGGCCCAGAAGCUGAGGUCAUGGAAAAGUAUUAAACUGUAGACUUAGAGACAUCAGAUCUGAAGAGAAUAGACUACUCCUGUCAAAGACAUCUUUGGUUAUAUCUGCAGAGAUAAAAGGCAAGCGACUAAUCAUCACAGUUCAUUGUCUGAGUUCAUUUUUCUUUUUAACUAUUAGAAGAUGAGCUGCACAGCACAAAAAUAAUAUCAGAGAUGAAGGUCAGUUGGAAUAUUAUUGCACAAACAUUUACAAAGAAAACAGCUCCAAUGUGCUUUAAAAAAAAAAAAAAGUAAAAAUCAA
This is a long non-coding RNA of Pogoniulus pusillus (Red-fronted tinkerbird), 708 nucleotides long. RefSeq lists it as uncharacterized. The transcript has 3 exons. The record is from RefSeq and is a predicted model, not a curated record. NCBI's taxonomy places the organism in Eukaryota, Metazoa, Chordata, Aves, Piciformes, Lybiidae.